GCUGGGCAUGGUGACUCAUGCCUGUAAUCCCAGCACUUUGAGAGGUUGAGGCAGGAGGAUUGCUUGAGCCCAGGAGUUUGAGACUAGCCUGGGCAACAACGCGAGACUCAGUCUCUUUUAAAAAAAAAAAUUAGCUGGGUGUGGUGGCAUGUGCCUGUAGUCCCAGCUAUUCAGGAGGCUGAAGCAGGAGGAUCACUUGAACCCAGGAGGUCGAGGCUGCAGUGAGCUGUGUUUGUGCCACUACAUUCCAGCCUGGGCAACAAAGUGAGACCCUGUCUCA
Homo sapiens (human) is the source of this 280-nucleotide unclassified non-coding RNA. It matches the Rfam family "Metazoan signal recognition particle RNA". Rfam says of the family: The signal recognition particle (SRP) is a universally conserved ribonucleoprotein. It is involved in the co-translational targeting of proteins to membranes. The eukaryotic SRP consists of a 300-nucleotide 7S RNA and six proteins: SRPs 72, 68, 54, 19, 14, and 9. The record is from Ensembl. NCBI's taxonomy places the organism in Eukaryota, Metazoa, Chordata, Mammalia, Primates, Hominidae.